GCCUGGGUGGCUCAGUCGGUUAAGCAUCCGACUUCGGCUCAGGUCAUGAUCUCACGGUUUGUGGGUUCGAGCCCCGCAUCGGGCU
RNAcentral lists this transfer RNA (85 nucleotides) under Crocuta crocuta (spotted hyena). It matches the Rfam family "tRNA". From Rfam's summary of the family: Transfer RNA (tRNA) molecules are approximately 80 nucleotides in length. Lineage: Eukaryota; Metazoa; Chordata; Mammalia; Carnivora; Hyaenidae. RNAcentral also lists the same sequence under 2 other names. The record is from Rfam by way of RNAcentral.